This 361-nucleotide long non-coding RNA is filed under the name Ananas comosus (pineapple). Its description in RNAcentral is "long non-coding RNA (ACOM_LNC015993)". The record is from RNAcentral. Lineage: Eukaryota; Viridiplantae; Streptophyta; Magnoliopsida; Poales; Bromeliaceae.
CUAUUCUAAAAACUUAAGCUAGUAGAUAAAAAACGUUUACAUAUUGUGAAACAGCCGUUGUACUCUAAAAGGUUAAGCUGUUAGAUAACGGUGUUUAAACAUUUUUAUAUUUAACACUCUCCCUCACGUCUGGGCUCGAGAUUUUUUAGUCGGCCCAUGACGUGGGCUUGAUAAAUAGGAGGAAAUUAAUUAUACUAGGGGUCUGACAUGAUUUGAACUCAGGACCUUUUGCUCUGAUACCAUGUGAAACAACCGUUGUACUCUAAAAGCUUAAGCUGUUAGAAAACGGUGUUUAAACAUUUUUAUAUUUAACACAUAUUAUAUACAAAUCAGAUUUUUUUUUUUUUUUUUAGUUUAAUAC